Dreissena polymorpha is the source of this 2778-nucleotide long non-coding RNA. RefSeq lists it as uncharacterized. The transcript has 4 exons. Lineage: Eukaryota; Metazoa; Mollusca; Bivalvia; Myida; Dreissenidae. The record is from RefSeq and is a predicted model, not a curated record.
UAGUCCAGUCAAUCUGUAAUUGUACCCACAACUAAUUGCAACAGAAAUAAUUUUUCGAUAAUGUUGUAGAUAAAUAUCACCUCUUCAACAUAUCAAAAGUCUAGCAAAGUCUAGCCUGGGCAAACUACCGAAAAAUGACUUUUAAUAUGACAGAUUUUCAUGGCCCUAAAUUACCACCGUAGAAGAUAAAAUGAUCAGAUGCACGGUAUACAAGCGUUCGCGCAAUAUGAUGUGAUCGUCUGCUUUUGAUGAAAGAUCCUAGAUUUAAGUCAUUUUUGGAGAUGUUUGAUCAACAAUCAACGAUGUCAAAGGUGUGGGUUUAGAAUUUCGAAAAAAGAUGCUAAUAUGGAACUGCCAAACAAUCUGAUCAGCACCAAACCUGCUGCAGCUGCAUCGGAAAGCAAUACCUGCCUGAUAUGAUGCCAAUCACUUGCAGAUGACCAAGAUCAUGUUAAGUUACGCCAGAAAGGGAGUGAUAGCAUAAAUGCUGCCAGCAAAGUUCGCUUGGACAAUAUUACUUCCCUACCCGGACAGACAGUUCAUAUGUACAUUGUCGGAAAGAUUAUUGUAACCCAAUUCGAAUCAAGUUAUCCUUAAAUAAAAAGCCAACACUGUAUUAUCUCCAUCGUUACGAUCUAACACUGAACGAUUUAACUUCAGUACAAAUUGUCUAUUUUGUGCUCAACGUGCCAAAUUUGUUGGAAGAAAACGAGGCUAUAAUGUAUACCCUGUUAGAACAGUUGAAUUUAAAAAGAACAUCGAACACAUAUGUAUCGAUAGGGAUGACAAAUAGGGUUCAGAUAUUAAAAGCAGAUUGGAAACUAUACAUGACUUAGCGGCUUCUGUUGCUAUAUACCAUCAGUCAUGCAGCGUAAAUUUUAGGACAGGUAAAAAUAUACCACAGUCAGGCAAUGAAAAAGGAAAGAAGUGUGGAAGACCAGUGAACAUGGCACAGGAAUUUGCUUUCCAGGAAAAAGCAUAGUUCCUGAUUGAAAAUGAUGACGAACAAAUAACACUAAAAGACCUUGUUGACAAAAUGGUAGAACUAUGUGGAGAACUCUCCUAUACAUCAACUCAUAUGAAGAAGAGAUUACUAGAGCAUUUUGGGUCCUCUAUUGUCAUCACAGAAUUAAAUGGAAAGCAGAAUGUAAUCACAUUUAGAAACACUGCAUCAUCAAUUUUUCAAUCCUUUUACCAAAAGUCUAGUAGCGAUUCUGAUGCUUAUAAAAUUGAAAUAAUAAAAACAGCAGCACAACUAUUGCUAACUGAUAUAAAGGAUAUUAAAGCAACAAAAUUGUCUUACCCUGACUCUGGCGCUGAUCUUAUGUCUACACAGGAAAAUAUUGACUACAUUCCGGAUAGUCUAAAAACAUUUCUUAGAGAAAUUUUCAGCGAUAAAAAAGCAGAUGUUAAGAUUGCCUCUAUUGGACAGGCCAUUAUCCAAGCAGUAAGACCAAAGGUGUUGAUUCCUCCUCUACAGAUUGGCUUAGCAGUACAAAUGAAAGAAGAGGUUAAGCUUAUAGAUAUGAUAUUAGCUCCACCUGGAGAAGAAAAAUCAUUAUAUGUACAUGCAGUUUUGAGCAGUUUUGAGACGUACAGGUUAUCUUUGUAUUAUACUAGAAUGUAAAAUAUAGUAUAAUAGAAGUGUUUUGAUUUUAAGUGUUAACAUUAUAAUACUUAAGUGAUGCGUUAUUUUAAGCUAAUGACAAUGCAACCAAUCUUGGUUAAAUUUUAUUUCCACAUGCCAUAAUAUAUUGGCAUGAUUUAAUAGUAACAUGUAUUUAAUGGGUGGGUGGGGUAAGUUUACCCCUAUAAAUGCACUAUUUACAUGAGUAAAUAUGUUAAGAAACUUCAUGAUACACUUAGGAAAUAGAAAAAUAAUACUGUUUUCAUAACUGAUGUAUUACUGAAUACUGUUUUUGUUGGCUGGUUUGCCCGAAAUGUGUUGUUUUAAUAGAAAAUGGAAAAUAUACUUUAUUUAAAAAAAACGUCCGCGAGGGGCAUAAAUAAAAUGAAGUUUUAACAGGUUUGCCCUGGAAAUAUUUCGCUAGACUUUUUUCCUGUCAUCUGUUAUACGUCAUAGAUGAUUUUGCACGUGAAACCGUUUCUGUUGCAAUUAGUUGAUGGUUAGGUGCUUUUUUUUCAUAGGAUGACUGGACUAAUCGACUCUGAUUACUUUCAAUUCUUGAAGCCAUUUUCUCAAGUGCUAGACGUUGCUUAUCUAGUGAGCGUUCUAAUUCCGACCAGUUGGUCGCCCCGAUUUGGCCAUUUUUGGGGCGCCCAUGGCCAACUGGCCCGCUCAAUGACCAGUUAUGGCCUUAAAUGACCUUGUUUGGCCACAUUUGCCCUUACGCUAGCAUAAAAGGACGACCAAUUUUUGGUCAUCAGCUCAGUUCCAUCACGAAAACUUAGAGGCAGGUCCUUUUAUAAAAUUAACAGCAAAAGCUUAUAUUCACUUAUAUUUAUUUGAAAGAGCUCAUUGAACAUCAUACUUAAAGUACUUACCUGUGGCAUUUCAUUACGACAUUUGGAAGCAUUUAUUGUCAUUUGAUGUACUUAAAAUUGUUGCCAUUAUCAAUUGUGAAAGACUCAUACAUUAAACAAGUAAACUUGUAACACUUCAAAUAACAAACUGUAGGAAAUCUUAUGCUCAGGUGAAAAUACACCAACUGCCUUUAUAAGACUAUAAUAUAUACAUUUACUAAUGUAAUGAUUUUUGAGUUGCAUACAGCAAUGAUUAUUUUGUUCAACGUGCGACAAUAAAAGUUAAUAACUUUU